AGUAACACCCUUUCAAAAUGACUUCCAAAACAGACACAACUUGCAAAAUAUUUUAAUUUCAAGACUACAAAUGGUAAUAGAUGGUACGAUGGUAAUAGAUAACGGCUAUUUUCAAAGGAGGGCCAGUUGAGCAUGCAAAGGGGACUAACUACAGUAGGCGCUCCGCGGCUUCUGUUCAAAUCCUUGGCGGCGAGGAACAGAGGGACAGCGCGCAGUGAAUCCCAAAUCCGUAAUGACUUCUCCAACCUCGAGCCCUUGCGAUGGCUCAUAAAAAGCUGGUUCGACCGAAAUGUGGUUGUAAACUUCGAGAUACAGGAGCUGAUGUUUCAUUCAGCCACCUCGGAGAUGGCGCUGAUGUGAGGCUGGAUGCAUGUGAACGUGUGGGCAGGAGCCAGGCGGUGUCCUACCUCCAGCGUCUGCUCCAGCUGAAGUACACUGGUCACCUGGCGGCCGUCACCCUCUGCCUCAUAGAGAGCUGCUCCACAAACACAGCUACACAGCCAAUGACUACCACCAAGAGCUGGAGAAGUGGCGCAGUGCAGAGUUCUAUGAGCAGAAGGUGCACCGCAUGUAGCUGCCCUUCUCUGCCAAGGUUCUGGGCGGCGUGGUGAUUGUGGAGGAGAUGCAGGAGAGACGCGCCCAGCAGCUGCGCAGGCUACAGGAGAUAAACGCCUGGCGCAGGGAGGAGAUGCUGCAGCAGGACCAAGAGCUUCUGGAUAAACUAUUGGCCCUGCAG
Molecule: non-coding RNA, 736 nt
Organism: Oncorhynchus mykiss (rainbow trout)
Lineage: Eukaryota; Metazoa; Chordata; Actinopteri; Salmoniformes; Salmonidae
Source: RefSeq, a predicted model, not a curated record